RNAcentral lists this long non-coding RNA (1195 nucleotides) under Callithrix jacchus (white-tufted-ear marmoset). RNAcentral describes it as "lncRNA (ENSCJAG00000067681.2)". Lineage: Eukaryota; Metazoa; Chordata; Mammalia; Primates; Cebidae. The record is from RNAcentral.
CUAGGUGGCCCAAGAGCCAGGAAAUUGGAUAGGAGGUUGGGUAUUUUCAGAUCAAUGUCAGUAGACAUCUAAGUGGCUGAAGGGAGUUUAAGGUGGUAGAGGAGGCAGCUUUCAGGUAGGUAACCUCGAUUUAGGGCCCAACAAAGUCACGAGGCUAAUAGUUUGGCUGAGCUGGGAGGGGUUGAGUGAUAGGUAAGGACAGAGUUUCUUCUUGUUGGUCAACACUGGGAGGGGGAAAGAGAGAGAGAGAGGAGAGGGAGAGCAGCUGGGCAUGCAAGAGAAAGAGAAAAGAGAGAGUGAUUCGAAAAUAUCAUAAAAUCAAGACAAUAAUUAAGUCACUUUUUGGUGUUCUCUUUUUUAGUCUAAAUUAUCUCCAGUGUCUUUUAACCUUUGUUCAAGGAAUCUAGCUUCUUCUUAAUCAUUUUUGUCACUCUUCUCUGCAUUCUCUCCAGGUUUCCCCGUAAGUUCAGAAGUGUUAUCUCAUUUCUUUCCACAGCAUACCCAUGAGGUAACUAGGGUCAUUGCUAAGCUCGCAUGUACAGAUUGGAUGAAAGUAAGGCACAUGAUUUUGAGAGGAAGGAAAAUCUGAUCUUGUCACAGCUCUGCCUAAAAUUCUUCAAAGAGGAGAAGAGGAAAAGAGUUGCUGCCCUGUGUCAGGUCAUGGUCUACAAGAUGGGUCACCAUAACUGAGUGACAGCUGGGGAAGGAUGUCGUGGUGCAGUGAGAGGAGAAUAGGAGGGUUCAUUCAAAGGCUCACAAUGGUGAAGUUGCACCAGGAUAUUGCAGUGAACCAUGAAGGCUGGUGGGGCAGAGGAGCUCCGAUUAUAUCCUGAGAAGAGACAACAUUGUGGAAACAUGUCCAUAUGCCUACUUGGAAGGAAGCAAUGGUCACUUAGUAUGGUAUGGCUCUUGGUAUCUUUUUGAGAGAAUUAUUACAUAUUCAAAAUGAAUAAUGAAUUUUUUAAGGGAAUAGAAUUAGGAAACAUUACAAAUCUCAGCCGCAUAAAUUGUAAAUAAACAAAGAUCCCAAUGUCAAAUUUCGGAAGCCCACAUUGUGUGAACGCAACGAUACAUUUUCAAACAAUCCUGCAAUAAACAAUAGCAUUUAACUCACCGGGGAUCGAAUGUUAAGUUGUCCCCUUCACUUGGUGACAAAUGUGAUUCCUGAGUGUGUGUGGGGCCAUGUUGCAUUUAC